Molecule: ribosomal RNA, 292 nt
Filed under: uncultured bacterium
Lineage: Bacteria
Description: partial 16S ribosomal RNA
Rfam family: Bacterial small subunit ribosomal RNA
Source: RNAcentral
GUGUCAGCCGCCGCGGUAAUACGUAGGUGGCAAGCGUUGUCCGGAUUUACUGGGCGUAAAGAGCGCGCAGGCGGUCAGAUAAGUCGAAUGUGAAAGCCCCCGGCUCAACUGGGGAGGGUCAUUCGAUACUGUUCGACUCGAAGGCAGGAGAGGGAAGCGGAAUUCCCGGUGUAGUGGUGAAAUGCGUAGAUAUCGGGAGGAACACCAGUGGCGAAGGCGGCUUCCUGGCCUGUUCUUGACGCUGAGGCGCGAAAGCUAGGGGAGCAAACGGGAUUAGAAACCCUGGUAGUCC